AUUGAACGCUGGCGGCAGGCCUAACACAUGCAAGUCGAGCGGAUGAAGGGAGCUUGCUCCUGGAUUCAGCGGCGGACGGGUGAGUAAUGCCUAGGAAUCUGCCUGGUAGUGGGGGAUAACGUCCGGAAACGGGCGCUAAUACCGCAUACGUCCUGAGGGAGAAAGUGGGGGAUCUUCGGACCUCACGCUAUCAGAUGAGCCUAGGUCGGAUUAGCUAGUUGGUGGGGUAAAGGCCUACCAAGGCGACGAUCCGUAACUGGUCUGAGAGGAUGAUCAGUCACACUGGAACUGAGACACGGUCCAGGCUCCUACGGGAGGCAGCAGUGGGGAAUAUUGGACAAUGGGCGAAAGCCUGAUCCAGCCAUGCCGCGUGUGUGAAGAAGGUCUUCGGAUCGUAAAGCACUUUAAGUUGGGAGGAAGGGCAGUAAGUUAAUACCUUGCUGUUUUGACGUUACCAACAGAAUAAGCACCGGCUAACUUCGUG
This 484-nucleotide ribosomal RNA is filed under the name uncultured bacterium. RNAcentral describes it as "partial 16S ribosomal RNA". It matches the Rfam family "Bacterial small subunit ribosomal RNA", at positions 30 to 507 of the family's 1533-position model. The record is from RNAcentral.